GUCCACGCCGUAAACGAUGAAUGCUAGCCGUUGGUGGGUUUACCCUUCAGUGGCGCAGCUAACGCUUUAAGCAUUCCGCCUGGGGAGUACGGUCGCAAGAUUAAAACUCAAAGGAAUUGACGGGGGCCCGCACAAGCGGUGGAGCAUGUGGUUUAAUUCGACGCAACGCGCAGAACCUUACCAGCUCUUGACAUGUCCAGGACCGGCCGCAGAGAUGUGGUCUUCCCUUCGGGGCCUGGAACACAGGUGCUGCAUGGCUGUCGU
This 264-nucleotide ribosomal RNA is filed under the name uncultured bacterium. RNAcentral describes it as "partial 16S ribosomal RNA". It matches the Rfam family "Bacterial small subunit ribosomal RNA", at positions 793 to 1055 of the family's 1533-position model. The record is from RNAcentral.